CCUACGGGGGGCUGCAGUGGGAAAUAUUGGACAAUGGGGGCAACCCUGAUCCAGCCAUGCCGCGUGUGUGAAGAAGGCCCUCGGGUUGUAAAGCACUUUCAGUGAGGAAGAACGCCUGGUGGUUAAUACCCAUCAGGAAAGACAUCACUCACAGAAGAAGCACCGGCUAACUCCGUGCCAGCAGCCGCGGUAAUACGGAGGGUGCGAGCGUUAAUCGGAAUUACUGGGCGUAAAGCGCGCGUAGGUGGCUUGAUAAGCCGGUUGUGAAAGCCCCGGGCUCAACCUGGGAACGGCAUCCGGAACUGUCAAGCUAGAGUGCAGGAGAGGAAGGUAGAAUUCCCGGUGUAGCGGUGAAAUGCGUAGAGAUCGGGAGGAAUACCAGUGGCGAAGGCGGCCUUCUGGACUGACACUGACACUGAGGUGCGAAAGCGUGGGUAGCAAACAGGAUUAGAUACCCGUGUAGUC
This 465-nucleotide ribosomal RNA is filed under the name Vreelandella stevensii. RNAcentral describes it as "partial 16S ribosomal RNA". It matches the Rfam family "Bacterial small subunit ribosomal RNA", at positions 338 to 795 of the family's 1533-position model. Lineage: Bacteria; Pseudomonadati; Pseudomonadota; Gammaproteobacteria; Oceanospirillales; Halomonadaceae. The record is from RNAcentral.